This 497-nucleotide ribosomal RNA is filed under the name uncultured bacterium. RNAcentral describes it as "partial 16S ribosomal RNA". It matches the Rfam family "Bacterial small subunit ribosomal RNA", at positions 28 to 507 of the family's 1533-position model. The record is from RNAcentral.
GACGAACGCUGGCGGCGUGCCUAAUACAUGCAAGUAGAACGCUGAAGCUUGGUGCUUGCACCGAGCGGAUGAGUUGCGAACGGGUGAGUAACGCGUAGGUAACCUGCCUGGUAGCGGGGGAUAACUAUUGGAAACGAUAGCUAAUACCGCAUAAGAGUAGAUGUUGCAUGACAUUUGCUUAAAAGGUGCAAUUGCAUCACUACCAGAUGGACCUGCGUUGUAUUAGCUAGUUGGUGAGGUAACGGCGCACCAAGGCAACGAUACAUAGCCGACCUGAGAGGGUGAGCGGCCACACUGGGACUGAGACACGGCCCAGACUCCUACGGGAGGGAGCAGUAGGGAAUCUUCGGCAAUGGACGGAAGUCUGACCGAGCAACGCCGCGGGAGUGAAGAAGGUUUUCGGAUCGUAAAGCUCGGUUGUAAGAGAAGAACGAGUGUGAGAGUGGAAAGUUCACACUGUGACGGUAUCUUACCAGAAAGGGACGGCUAACUACGUG